This 433-nucleotide ribosomal RNA is filed under the name uncultured bacterium. RNAcentral describes it as "partial 16S ribosomal RNA". It matches the Rfam family "Bacterial small subunit ribosomal RNA", at positions 29 to 507 of the family's 1533-position model. The record is from RNAcentral.
AGCGAACGCUGGCGGCAGGCUUAACACAUGCAAGUCGAGCGGGCCCUUCGGGGUCAGCGGCAGACGGGUGAGUAACACGUGGGAACGUACCCUUUGGUUCGGAAUAACGCUGGGAAACUAGCGCUAAUACCGGAUACGCCCUUUUGGGGAAAGGCUUGCUGCCGAAGGAUCGGCCCGCGUCUGAUUAGCUAGUUGGUGGGGUAAUGGCCUACCAAGGCGACGAUCAGUAGCUGGUCUGAGAGGAUGAUCAGCCACACUGGGACUGAGACACGGCCCAGACUCCUACGGGAGGCAGCAGUGGGGAAUAUUGGACAAUGGGCGCAAGCCUGAUCCAGCCAGGCCGCGUGAGUGAUGAAGGCCUGAGGGUUGUAAAGCUCUUGUGUCCGGGACGAUAAUGACGGUACCGGAAGAAUAAGCCCCGGCUAACUUCGUG